This is a long non-coding RNA of Anas platyrhynchos (mallard), 823 nucleotides long. RefSeq lists it as uncharacterized. NCBI's taxonomy places the organism in Eukaryota, Metazoa, Chordata, Aves, Anseriformes, Anatidae. The record is from RefSeq and is a predicted model, not a curated record.
GCUGUAGCGUUCAGGAUUAAAAACCCAACAUGUAUUUCACUUAAAUAGGGGGAGAAAUUACAUGUUAUUGCUAGGAAACAGAGAGAAUUCUAAUAGGCUUAUAGCAAACAAAAAUGCAGUACUUGAGGUUAAAUCCUGGAGUCUAAAGCAGCUUCUGAUCAUGCUUAACCCUUGCAGGAUGAAGAAAGCAGGGACACUUCAGAUUCAGAUCCUGAAGCAACAUCCAGCUCAGAGGAGAAGUUAAAAGCGUAAUGCUCCAAGGCGCUGCUCCUCGGCUCGCCCGGGCAGGAGCACGGGUGCCUACGCGGCACGCUGACAAAGGCACCUGUUGUGAGAGCUGCCUUCCCCAAGGAGCAGGAGCACAGUCCCUCACGCGACAUAUUUUGAAAGCAUACCUCCAAAGCAGCAAUUUUUGGAGAAACGGUUCACCUGAGCAGUCAAGAUGACGGAGGAGAGCUCACAGAAGGACAGCAGUGACCAGUAUCAACUGUUUCCAACACAACCAGCAGUGAAAGAGACUUCAUACAGAGUCAAACACUGUGAAUCCCAAAAUGAAGCCACCUUCUCUCCUCACCCAAGGAGGGCCAGCUGACCAUCGGAGCACAGCGAACACCGCAGCUUUUCAGCCCGCAUGGAAGUUACCUGUGGUCCCACCUGAAGCCCCCUUGUCGCAGCUGAUCAAGCACGGGUCGCGUUGCUGCCCCCGACAAGUCUCUGCUGCGCCCAUCUAGCAGCCAGAUGAAACCUCUGUGUUGGGACACAAGGUGGGGAGCAGCUGCCUGCCCUCCACAAGGGUGGCAAUCCCCCGGAUUAAGCAGCAAAU